This 300-nucleotide long non-coding RNA is filed under the name Trifolium pratense (red clover). RNAcentral describes it as "long non-coding RNA (TPRA_LNC000320)". The record is from RNAcentral. Lineage: Eukaryota; Viridiplantae; Streptophyta; Magnoliopsida; Fabales; Fabaceae.
AGAUAAUCAAGACAGAGGAAACAAUUCCAGAACAACCAGCCACUGAAGUUACUGUCACAGAACAACCAGAGUCCGAAGUUCCUGCUACAGAAGUACCAACAGAAAAACCAACACAAACAACAGAAACACCAGAAGAAACUCCAGCUGCUCCUGAAACACAAGAUCCACUUGUAGUUGCGACCAAAGAAGUGGUAGCAGAAGAAGCCAAGGAAGAGAACUCAGAAGCACCUAAAGAAGCAGAGGAAUCAGUUGAAGAAGUGAAGGAAGAGGCGGCAGCAGUAGAGGAGGCUAAAGCAACCA